CUUCGUCGUCUGCGGCAUCCCCUUCAAUGUCGCAGACAAGCCGAUGUUCCUGGACUGGCAGACAGAAGUGCGGCCUGGACUGGUGCCAGCGAGCAAGUGUCCUGUUCUAUCGCGCUAAGUUGAGGGUUAUCGUUUGGUGCACCUACCACCAUACCCCUCCCUCUCCCCCCUGCCCUUACCCCCAUUAGGCGCACGGGCGAUGCGCUGCGAGCUGCUGGACAAGGAGUACUUGUACAUCAAGAGCUUGGUUGAGAAGCGAAUCCAGACUGAGGCGGCUGUGACUGCGGUCAUCGAUGGAUGGACUGACCCGCGGGGCCAGUCCAUCUACAGUGUGGUCAUCACCUUCUCCUCAGAUCGGAGCUCAGUACUCUUCGACUCUCGCG
This 383-nucleotide long non-coding RNA is filed under the name Volvox carteri. RNAcentral describes it as "long non-coding RNA (VCAR_LNC002752)". Lineage: Eukaryota; Viridiplantae; Chlorophyta; Chlorophyceae; Chlamydomonadales; Volvocaceae. The record is from RNAcentral.